GUUCUAGAGAGAGAAAAACCUCUCAAAAAUUUUUCUUCUUCGUCUCUCGAGUUCCGCCAAGUCCUUGCCUCCAAUGUGGCAAGGGAAGGCGUCCUCUCCGGCUUCAUCAUGGUUCUCCCUCCACUCCCUCCUUGGGCUAGUUUGUUUGGUUUUGCAAAUCUUGUUCGUUCAUGGUGAGGUGUCUUUGAAUAGAUCCGAUCGAGGAACCUUUGACGAUGGUAGCUCCGGGAUUUUCAAGGUUUUCUCUUUUUGAAAACUGAUUCUAAAGGCUAAACAAGAUUGAGAAGCCAAAGAGAGCUCUACCUGGCUAACCUCUCCGAGCCAUGGUUAUCGUUCUGUGGAGUUGGUUUUAGGGGCCUGGUGUGGUCUGGGGUUGGGUAUAUGGACGGCUGUUGCCUAGCGUUCCUAGGUUGGGUUUAGGGUUGGGCUGCUGUAUGUGGUUGGAUCUGUCAUUGUAUUGGGCUAUGUCAAUGCAAUG
Molecule: unclassified non-coding RNA, 478 nt
Filed under: Hevea brasiliensis (rubber tree)
Lineage: Eukaryota; Viridiplantae; Streptophyta; Magnoliopsida; Malpighiales; Euphorbiaceae
Source: RNAcentral